AGAGUUUGAUCCUGGCUCAGAUUGAACGCUGGCGGCAGGCCUAACACAUGCAAGUCGAACGGUAGCACAGAGGAGCUUGCUCCUUGGGUGACGAGUGGCGGACGGGUGAGUAAUGUCUGGGAAACUGCCCGAUGGAGGGGGAUAACUACUGGAAACGGUAGCUAAUACCGCAUAACGUCGCAAGACCAAAGAGGGGGACCUUCGGGCCUCUUGCCAUCGGAUGUGCCCAGAUGGGAUUAGCUAGUAGGUGGGGUAACGGCUCACCUAGGCGACGAUCCCUAGCUGGUCUGAGAGGAUGACCAGCCACACUGGAACUGAGACACGGUCCAGACUCCUACGGGAGGCAGCAGUGGGGAAUAUUGCACAAUGGGCGCAAGCCUGAUGCAGCCAUGCCGCGUGUAUGAAGAAGGCCUUCGGGUUGUAAAGUACUUUCAGCGGGGAGGAAGGGGUUAAGGUUAAUACUUAGCCAUUGACGUUACCCGCAGAAGAAGCACCGGCUAACUCCGUGCCAGCAGCCGCGGUAUACGGAGGGUGCAAGCGUUAAUCGGAAUUACUGGGCGUAAAGCGCACGCAGGCGGUCUGUCAAGUCGGAUGUGAAAUCCCCGGGCUCAACCUGGGAACUGCAUCCGAAACUGGCAGGCUAGAGUCUUGUAGAGGGGGGUAGAAUUCCAGGUGUAGCGGUGAAAUGCGUAGAGAUCUGGAGGAAUACCGGUGGCGAAGGCGGCCCCCUGGACAAAGACUGACGCUCAGGUGCGAAAGCGUGGGGAGCAAACAGGAUUAGAUACCCUGGUAGUCCACGCCGUAAACGAUGUCGACUUGGAGGUUGUGCCCUUGAGGCGUGGCUUCCGGAGCUAACGCGUUAAGUCGACCGCCUGGGGAGUACGGCCGCAAGGUUAAAACUCAAAUGAAUUGACGGGGGCCCGCACAAGCGGUGGAGCAUGUGGUUUAAUUCGAUGCAACGCGAAGAACCUUACCUACUCUUGACAUCCACGGAAUUUAGCAGAGAUGCUUUAGUGCCUUCGGGAACCGUGAGACAGGUGCUGCAUGGCUGUCGUCAGCUCGUGUUGUGAAAUGUUGGGUUAAGUCCCGCAACGAGCGCAACCCUUAUCCUUUGUUGCCAGCGGUUAGGCCAGGAACUCAAAGGAGACUGCCAGUGAUAAACUGGAGGAAGGUGGGGAUGACGUCAAGUCAUCAUGGCCCUUACGAGUAGGGCUACACACGUGCUACAAUGGCAUAUACAAAGAGAAGCGACCUCGCGAGAGCAAGCGGACCUCAUAAAGUAUGUCGUAGUCCGGAUCGGAGUCUGCAACUCGACUCCGUGAAGUCGGAAUCGCUAGUAAUCGUGGAUCAGAAUGCCACGGUGAAUACGUUCCCGGGCCUUGUACACACCGCCCGUCACACCAUGGGAGUGGGUUGCAAAAGAAGUAGGUAGCUUAACCUUCGGGAGGGCGCUUACCACUUUGUGAUUCAUGACUGGGGUGAAGUCGUAACAAGGUAACC
RNAcentral lists this ribosomal RNA (1500 nucleotides) under uncultured bacterium. RNAcentral's name for it is "bacterial SSU rRNA". It matches the Rfam family "Bacterial small subunit ribosomal RNA". The record is from RNAcentral.